This 86-nucleotide non-coding RNA is filed under the name Enterobacter sp. CC120223-11. The record is from RNAcentral. Lineage: Bacteria; Pseudomonadati; Pseudomonadota; Gammaproteobacteria; Enterobacterales; Enterobacteriaceae.
AUCAAUGGUGGCGCUGGCGGGGCAGCCGAAAGGCUGGCCGGUUCGUUGAGUCCGGUAUUCCUACCCCCGUCAGCGCCAUCACCUGG